CCUACGGGAGGCAGCAGUGGGGAAUAUUGCACAAUGGGGGAAACCCUGAUGCAGCGACGCCGCGUGAGUGAAGAAGUAUUUCGGUAUGUAAAGCUCUAUCAGCAGGGAAGAAAAUGACGGUACCUGAUGAAGAAGCACCGGCUAACGACGUGCCAGCAGCCGCGGUAAUACGGAGGGGGCAAGCGUUAUACGGAUUUACUGGGUGGAAGGGGAGCGUAGGCGGGAGCGCCAGUCUGGAGUGAAAUGCCGGGGCUUAACCCCGGAACUGCUUUGGAAACUGGGCUGCUGGAGUGCAGGAGAGGUAAGUGGCCUUCCUAGUGUAGCGGUGAAAUGCGUAGAUAUUAGGAGGAACACAAGUGGCGCGGGCGGCUUACUGGACUGUAACUGACGUUGAUGCUCGAACGCGUGGGGAGCAAACAGGAUUAGAUACCCUUGUAGUC
RNAcentral lists this ribosomal RNA (440 nucleotides) under uncultured bacterium. Its description in RNAcentral is "partial 16S ribosomal RNA". It matches the Rfam family "Bacterial small subunit ribosomal RNA", at positions 338 to 795 of the family's 1533-position model. The record is from RNAcentral.